This is a long non-coding RNA of Phascolarctos cinereus (koala), 3718 nucleotides long. RefSeq lists it as uncharacterized. The record is from RefSeq and is a predicted model, not a curated record. NCBI's taxonomy places the organism in Eukaryota, Metazoa, Chordata, Mammalia, Diprotodontia, Phascolarctidae.
UUCCCUCGAUUCUCCGAUGCGUGGGGAAUGACUUCAUUAUAUCCUGGGCCUUUCUUGCCGUCCUAUUUGAGUUUGAGCCUGAGCCUGGGUCCACCCCGGCCUGCCCCUCUUACCGCCCCAGGUUCUGUGCCUGGGCCUCAGUUUCCCUGUCUAUAAAGUGGUGGUAAAAAGAUUUGCUGAUAGUGCUGAUCCAGGAAAAGAAUGGAUGAGAUUGCAAAGGGCCCUCUAUGCACAUAUUAACUCUUCCGGUUUGGCAAGUCCUUUUUUGUGCUUCUGGGUUAAUUACCUAAGGACUAAUGUACUUAACGGUGACCUCUGAUGGGGGUAAGUUAGCUACUUAAGAAAGGGGAUAAAACAUAUAUAUUAAUAGGCAGAUUAAAAAGAAGGCAGUUUAAAGGCAAAAAAGGAGAUGAAAAGAGCAGGGAAAAGAAUAUUCUCUAUCUGUAGUUUCCCACCUCUCACAUACAGUGUGCACUCUCGAAUAAAGUAAAGAAAUCAGGUUACUUAACCUCUAUGGCCCUCCAUUUCGUCGUCUAGAAAUCCAGGGGGUCCAGAGGGUGGGAUGAAAUCGCAUCCAAAGCCCCUUUGAGUCCUAAUUUAUGAUCUACGGUCUAUCCGGACUGAUUUUGGUUGUUACGUUGAAGGAGAAUUCAGCUGCCCUUUUAAAGUAAUUAUUACUAUUCCAUUUAAUAUUUAAUUUUUUAUAUUUAAUUAUUAUUAAUUAUUCAGCUGUGGCUUUUGCUCAGGUUAUUUUAGUUACUGUGUUUGUUGUUCUUAUUUCUGGUUCUGCUUAUUUUCCUUUACAAUCACUUCAAACAGUUCAUCCUUCCGUUUCUCUGAAUUCUUCAUAUAUGCUGUUUCUUUUUUAAAAAUAAAUUUUAUUGCUAUUUUUAUAUCCUCUAAAUUUCUCCCAGUAUUUCUCCCCUUCACUCCUUUUAGAGCCCUCACAUGUAAUAAAGAAUAAAAAAAAAAGCCAGAAGAAAAAUCAGCAAAACCAGUCAGUAAAUUGAAAAAGUUUGAAAAUCUGUUAUCAAAACAUAAUAGUAUUCUGUUAUGUCUAUACACAAUUUUUUUCAUUUUCUUUCUGUUGUGAACUUAAAAACCAAACAAAAUCAACACUUCCAUAUACGUUGUGGAAUAGGAGAAGAUUGUAUAUAAAACUACAAAUCUCUAUUAUAAUUACUAAAGGUUUUUUAGCCAUUUCUCCAUUGUCUAGUUGUUUUUUUUUUUCUAUCAAAGGAAGUGCUGCUGUAUUUUGGUCUUUGACUUCACAAGCCCCCUUAUCAGGAUCACUGAGUCAAAAGGAUACAACAAUUUAUUGAUUUUUCUCACAUAAUUCCAAGUAGUUUUCCAAAACAGUUCACCAUAAAAUAUACCUGACUUCUUACAGACCCUCCAACAUUGACUGUCUCUGUUUUAUUCUUUGCCUCUGUAUGGGGAGUUGGGGGAAACAUAUGAGACGUUUUAAUUCAUGUUUCCUAGUGAUUUGGAGGAUUCUUUUAUAUAGUUGGUUACAAUUUGCAGUUCGUUUGAAAGUUGUUUGUUUAUAUCUUUGAUCACUUCUUUCUUGGAGAAUGGCUCUUGGACCUCUCUAUGUUUGUGUCCAUUUCCUGUCUAUCCUGGAAAACAGACUUUUGUUAGAGAUAUUUGAUGCAAAUAUCUUCCUUCCUGAACCUUUCUCUUAUGCUAGCUACUUUCAUUUUAUUUAUAGAAAAACUUCAAUUUAUUGAUUUACUGAAAAUGCCUAUUAUGUUUUAUAUACACCUCUAUCUCUUAAUUAGGACCUUUGCCUUUAACCAUAGUUGUCAAGGUUACUUUCUCAAUUAUAGGAAUAAUUUUUGUAACAUAGGUCAUAUUUGUUCUUUAAAUGUUUGGAAUUUACUCAUAAAUUUGUCUGGACCAGGAUUUCCCCCCUCUUUGGUAGUUCAUUUAUGUCUUGUUUGAUUUCUCUUUCUGAAAUUGGGUUGCUUUAAUGACUGUUUAUUGUUUUGUUAAUUUGAGUAUUUUAUAUGUGUUUUUAAAAUAAAUUUUUAUUGAUAUCUUUUGUUUUUCCAUAACUGAAAUAUCUCCCUGUAUCUCUCUACCCCUGCCAUCCUAUUUAACAAAAAAUUUGGGGUAUUUAAUAUUUUUGCAGGAAAUCAUCUAUUUCCUCUAAGUUUUUCUUUUGAAGUCAGCCCAGGAGGGAUGGGAAUCCACAAGAAAGAAAUUCUGAAGACAGAAAAAAUUAAAUUCCCAUGACAAGAACUGAGACUUAUCUGAAGAGCUCAAGAUGGAUGCUCAGAGAACUCCUCCCUUUAUAGUCAUAAAAGAUAUUUACAGAAGAUAGAAAGAAGAGCAGGAGAAUGAUCUUUACCCUGGAAGUGACAGAAGUAUAAAGAGACAUUUGGAGUUCCUACCCUGUUCAUGAGUUCAUGUGAUCUGACUGAGAUGAGCUAAUUCCCAGAUUUUUAAUGGAAUCCUGAUCAACAUCAUUGUGUCAAGGGAUACAAGUGAAGAACACCAUCAUUCCAUUUUGGUACUGUAGACAUCCAGGCUUCAAGUUAAUGGAAAUAAGGCUCUGGUUUCUCAGUCAGUCCUUGAAGACUGACACUGCUCAGAGAAAUCAAAAUAACUGGUGAACCAUGGAAUACUGUGCUUGUUCUAUUAUGACUUCUGCCAUAUGAAUCCUGCCUGUGACUUCAUCUGUGAGAAGGACAUACUGCAGAUACUAAUAGAAUCCUGGUUGCAUCUCAGCAAGGAAAAAUUCAUGUGAAUGUCUUCUUGCCUCCUCUGCCCUGUUACUUUCAGGGGUGGGGUGUAAUCCUACCUCCUUCCUUGUCCUGGAUAUGUCCUGGACAUAUCCUCCCCACCUAUACAUUUUUACACACAUAUGCUCCCCAGAGUAGGGAGAUUUUGGUGACUGGAUACCCAAAGUACCAGGCAGUGUGAAACUAAAAAUUGAGGACUGUGAAAGAGACCUAAUGGGAAUCUAUUGAACUGUUCAAAAGUAACUUUUUGUGCUGUGGAUGAAAUGGUAUAUGCUUUUUAGAACCCUUUGAUCUUCAUUGGUAAUGUGAACUGUUAUCUCCAGGGAUUGCUACAUCCCCAAUCAGGCAUUGGCCUUCAUCUAUUCAUGCAGUAUCUGCCAGCCCUUGAGUAUUUUACCAGUGAGUGGAGGAUCCCUAUCUACCAUCUGAAUCAGAUUUGGUGCUGCUUUGUACCUCAGGUGUUUGGGAAUUCUGGAGACGAAAAGUUACUACCGGCUGAAGUUUGUUUUUCCCUGGUUUACCUGUACUACUUUUGAUUAAGAAAACUGUAGUUGGUUAGUAACUGCCUCAGGUUACACCAAGCAUGACUUCUCAGUUUUCCAGCCCUUCUAAAGAGGCUCGGAGAUCACAUCUUCUCUGUGUCACUGGACACUUUAUUGAAACUGAAUUGUGGACAAUAAAUGGACUAUGGGUUGUGCUAUUCCCAAAUUUCUUGACAAAACUCUUCAUUGCUCUCACAGAAUUUUUUGCAGUCCUCAAGAAUACCCUUCAGGUAGGUCAGCCUGAAGGGGUAGAAGCUUGCCCUGUUUGCUGCCCCUCAGAACUGUUGAUUACCCUUUUUGAUCAAUGUCAGGGUAGCAGGUAUCUGUUCUAAAGGGACUCAGAGUUAUUUUGUAACUGAGUUAUAAAGGUACUUAAUGGGGAAAAAAAAUAAAAGCUGGUGGUUAAACAAACCCUUGCCAAGUCAAUAA